UCUGACAGGACUUGUAAGUUCUCCCAUUAUUCUUUGUUUCAGCUUGGAAAACAAGUAGAGCAAAUGGAAGAUACUCUGUUUGAAUUGCAGGAUUAUUCCUGAAAGGAUUCCUGAUGACUCCAGUGCCUUUUUGCCAGCAGGCAACCAGAAACAUCCCCAGGUAUUCAAAGCAGAGGUGAUGUUGGGAAUGGAAAAAGGCAAACUUUAUCCCAAGUAGCUUGAGGCCACUCCGGAAACUUUGUCCUGGGAGUCCCUGCUGGAUUCUGCACCAAGCUUCUCUGGUGAUCUGCACGUGGCCAUCCCUGGUUGCCAUCACCAGACCUGCUCUGCUCUUCAUUAUUAGGUGCUGUGGUAUCACAGGCCUUGUCAACGAAGCCAUCACCUUGCCAGCCUGGCUGUCACCCUCUGCUCCCUACCUCGCCCUAACUUCUUCCUGAAACCGAGAUUGUUGUGUUUGUCCAGCUGUCAAAUUUAUUGAUCAAACAAAAGCAGUGGAGUCUCAAGCAAUAUGGAAGUGGCAAAGUGGGUGAGGCAAGACCAGUUGUCAGGACUCUGCUCCCUAUUUUCUGAUUAC
This 574-nucleotide long non-coding RNA is filed under the name Coturnix japonica (Japanese quail). RNAcentral's name for it is "lncRNA (ENSCJPG00005015621.1)". Lineage: Eukaryota; Metazoa; Chordata; Aves; Galliformes; Phasianidae. The record is from RNAcentral.